Molecule: ribosomal RNA, 163 nt
Filed under: Bupleurum scorzonerifolium
Lineage: Eukaryota; Viridiplantae; Streptophyta; Magnoliopsida; Apiales; Apiaceae
Also listed under: 6 other names
Description: 5.8S ribosomal RNA
Rfam family: 5.8S ribosomal RNA
About the family: 5.8S ribosomal RNA (5.8S rRNA) is a component of the large subunit of the eukaryotic ribosome.
Source: RNAcentral
CAACGACUCUCGGCAACGGAUAUCCCGGCUCUCGCAUCGAUGAAGAACGUAGCGAAAUGCGAUACUUGGUGUGAAUUGCAGAAUCCCGUGAACCAUCGAGUUUUUGAACGCAAGUUGCGCCCGAUGCCAUUAGGUUGAGGGCACGUCUGCCUGGGUGUCACGU